CCACCCCAUAGAGCUCCUCCACUGCCCCAUGGAUUUCCACCAACCCCAUGGAGACCCAUCAUCCCAUGGAGAUCCACUGCCCCAUGGAUCUCCUCCACUGCCCCAUGGAGCUCCUCCACUGCCCCAUGGAUCUCCUCCACCACCCCAUGGAUCUCCUCCACUGCCCCAUGGAGCUCCUCCACUGCCCCAUGGAGCUCCUCCACUGCCCCAUGGAUCUCCUCCACCACCCCAUGGAUCUCCUCCACUGCCCCAUGGAGCUCCUCCACUGCCCCAUGGAGCUCCACCAACCCCAUGGAGAUCCACCAACCCCAUGUCUAUGUGUCUCCACCACCCCAUGGAGCUCCUCCACUGCCCCAUCGAUCUCCACCAACCCCAUGGAUCUCCUCCACCACCCCAUGGAGACCCACCAACCCAUAGAGACCCACCACCCCAUGGAGCUCCUCCACUGCCCCAUCGAUCUCCACCAACCCCAUGGAGCUCCACCACCCCAUGCAUUUCCACCACACAUGGAGACCCACCACCCCCAUGGAGAUCCACCACCCCCGUGGUGCUUCAUCACCCCCAUGGACCUCCUCCACCCCACUGAAUGCCACCACCCCAUGGACCUCCUCCACCCCAUGCAGAUGCACCGCCCCCAUUAUGCUCCAUCACCCCCAUGGACCUCCACAAUCCAUGGAGCUCCACCACCCCAUGUAGACCCACCACCCCCAUGGUGCUCUAUCACCCCCAUGGAGACCCACCAUCCCAUGGACCUCCUCCACCCCAUGGAGACCCAGAAUCCCCAUGGCGCUCCAUCACCCCCAUGGAGCUCCACCAUCCAUGGAGCUCCACCAUCCAUGGAGCUCCACCACCCCAUGGAGCUCCAUCACCCCCAUGGAGCUCCACCAUCCACAGAGCUCCAUCACCCCUUGGAGAUCCAUCACCCCUAUGGAGAUCCAUCACCCCGUGGAUAUCCAUCACCCCUAUGGAGAUCCAUCACUCCAUGGAGCUCCAUCGCCCCAUGGAGAUCCAUCACCCCAUGGAGAUCCAUCACCCCCAUGGAGCUCCACCAUCCCAUGGACCUCCUCCACCCCAUGGAGACCCAGCAUCCCCAUGACCCUCCAUCACCCCCAUGGAGCUCCACCAUCCAUGGAGAUCCAUCACCCCUAUGGAGAUCCAUCACCCCAUGGAGAUCCAUCACCCCAUGGUGCUCCAUCACCCCCAUGGACCUCCACCAUCCAUGGAGCUCCAUCACCCCAUGGAGAUCCAUCACCCCUAUGGAGCUCCACCAUCCAUGGAGCUCCAUCACCCCAUGGAGCUCCAUCACCCCCAUGGUGCUCCAUCACCCCAUGGAGAUCCACCAUCCAUGGAGCUCCAUCACCCCAUGGAGAUC
This 1372-nucleotide long non-coding RNA is filed under the name Calidris pugnax (ruff). RNAcentral describes it as "lncRNA (ENSCPUG00000013320.1)". The record is from RNAcentral. Lineage: Eukaryota; Metazoa; Chordata; Aves; Charadriiformes; Scolopacidae.